RNAcentral lists this non-coding RNA (25 nucleotides) under Gallus gallus (chicken). The record is from RNAcentral. RNAcentral also lists the same sequence under 2 other names. Lineage: Eukaryota; Metazoa; Chordata; Aves; Galliformes; Phasianidae.
ACCAACCUGGAGGACUCCAUGCUGU